CCUACGGGAGGCUGCAGUGGGGAAUAUUGGGCAAUGGGCGCAAGCCUGACCCAGCAACGCCGCGUGAAGGAAGAAGGCUUUCGGGUUGUAAACUUCUUUUCUCAGGGACGAAGAAAGUGACGGUACCUGAGGAAUAAGCCACGGCUAACUACGUGCCAGCAGCCGCGGUAAUACGUAGGUGGCAAGCGUUAUCCGGAUUUACUGGGUGUAAAGGGCGUGUAGGCGGGAAUGCAAGUCAGAUGUGAAAACCAUGGGCUCAACCUGUGGCCUGCAUUUGAAACUGUAUUUCUUGAGUACUGGAGAGGCAGACGGAAUUCCUAGUGUAGCGGUGAAAUGCGUAGAUAUUAGGAGGAACACCAGUGGCGAAGGCGGUCUGCUGGACAGCAACUGACGCUGAGGCGCGAAAGCGUGGGGAGCAAACAGGAUUAGAUACCCUAGUAGUCC
RNAcentral lists this ribosomal RNA (444 nucleotides) under Escherichia coli. Its description in RNAcentral is "bacterial SSU rRNA". It matches the Rfam family "Bacterial small subunit ribosomal RNA", at positions 338 to 796 of the family's 1533-position model. The record is from RNAcentral. Lineage: Bacteria; Pseudomonadati; Pseudomonadota; Gammaproteobacteria; Enterobacterales; Enterobacteriaceae.